RNAcentral lists this ribosomal RNA (492 nucleotides) under uncultured bacterium. Its description in RNAcentral is "partial 16S ribosomal RNA". It matches the Rfam family "Bacterial small subunit ribosomal RNA", at positions 29 to 507 of the family's 1533-position model. The record is from RNAcentral.
AGUGAACGCUGGCGGUAGGCCUAACACAUGCAAGUCGAACGGCAGCACAGUAAGAGCUUGCUCUUACGGGUGGCGAGUGGCGGACGGGUGAGGAAUACAUCGGAAUCUACUUUUUCGUGGGGGAUAACGUAGGGAAACUUACGCUAAUACCUCAUACGACCUACGGGUGAAAGCAGGGGAUCUUCGGACCUUGCGCGAUUGAAUGAGCCGAUGUCGGAUUAGCUAGUUGGCGGGGUAACGGCCCACCAAGGCGACGAUCCGUAGCUGGUCUGAGAGGAUGUACAGCCACACUGGAAGUGAGACACGGUACAGACUCCUACGGGCGGCAGCAGUGGGGAAUAUUGGACAAUGGGCGCAAGCCUGAUCAAGCCACACCGCGUGGGUGAAGAAGGCCUUCGGGUUGUAAAGCCCUUUUGUUGGGAAAGAAAAGCAGCAGGUUAAUACCCCGCUGUUCUGACGGUACCCAAAGAAUAAGCACCGGCUAACUUCGUG